GAGGAUGCUUUGGGUGAAACGCCAGUCUAAGUUCCUUGGAACAGGACGUCAUAGAGGGUGAGAAUCCCGUAUGUGACUGGAAAUGUUAACCUAUGUAAAGCUCCUUCGACGAGUCGAGUUGUUUGGGAAUGCAGCUCUAAAUGGGAGGUAAAUUUCUUCUAAAGCUAAAUAUUGGCGAGAGACCGAUAGCGCACAAGUAGAGUGAUCGAAAGAUGAAAAGCACUUUGGAAAGAGAGUUAAAAAGCACGUGAAAUUGUUGAAAGGGAAGCGCUUGCAAUCAGACUUGUUUAAACUGUUCGGCCGGUCUUCUGACCGGUUUACUCAGUUUGGACAGGCCAGCAUCAGUUUCGGCGGCCGGAUAAAGGCUCUGGGAAUGUGGCCUUCACUUCGGUGAAGGUGUUAUAGCCCAGGGUGUAAUACGGCCAGCCGGGACUGAGGUCCGCGCUUCGGCUAGGAUGCUGGCGUAAUGGUUGUAAGCGACCCGUCUUGAAACACGGACCAAGGAGUCUAACAUCUAUGCGAGUGUUCGGGUGUCAAACCCCUGCGCGUAAUGAAAGUG
This 559-nucleotide ribosomal RNA is filed under the name Aureobasidium melanogenum. RNAcentral's name for it is "partial large subunit ribosomal RNA". It matches the Rfam family "Eukaryotic large subunit ribosomal RNA", at positions 151 to 727 of the family's 3401-position model. Lineage: Eukaryota; Fungi; Ascomycota; Dothideomycetes; Dothideales; Saccotheciaceae. The record is from RNAcentral.